RNAcentral lists this long non-coding RNA (364 nucleotides) under Vulpes vulpes (red fox). RNAcentral describes it as "lncRNA (ENSVVUG00000010730.1)". Lineage: Eukaryota; Metazoa; Chordata; Mammalia; Carnivora; Canidae. The record is from RNAcentral.
GGUUAUUGCAAAGCUACUUUCCUUGGCUCAUGCUGAUCAGGUGAUUCCUGACUAAGAUUCUCCUUCUCAGAGGCCACAAACUAUAAUUCUCAGUUUGGUGCCAUGGGUCUUAGCAUAAGCCUCUCCAGUCUGGUUUCUAAGUCAGAGCCAUUCUCAUCUCGAACCCAGUUUGGUUCUUAAGUUGGACCCAGCUCGACCAGGACCAGUUUCAAAGAAGACCCAGUCUGACCCUGGCCGGUUUCCCAGCCAGCCCACCUCCAGAUGCAGCGAGGAAGCAGCCAGCUCAAGGGGCAGCACAGGAGGCAAGAGAACAAAUGAAGACACAGGAAAAGUAAAAGGCAAGCAUCUGAGAUUGAAGUUAUGA